GCCUUCGUGGUGUAGUGGUCAGCACGCUUGACGCGUAUUUGAGAGGUCUAUGGUUCAAGUCCCGGCGAAGUCA
This is a non-coding RNA of Stegodyphus mimosarum, 73 nucleotides long. NCBI's taxonomy places the organism in Eukaryota, Metazoa, Arthropoda, Arachnida, Araneae, Eresidae. The record is from Rfam.